RNAcentral lists this ribosomal RNA (253 nucleotides) under uncultured bacterium. RNAcentral's name for it is "partial 16S ribosomal RNA". It matches the Rfam family "Bacterial small subunit ribosomal RNA", at positions 524 to 776 of the family's 1533-position model. The record is from RNAcentral.
UACGAAGGGGGCUAGCGUUGCUCGGAAUCACUGGGCGUAAAGGGUGCGUAGGCGGGUCUUUAAGUCAGGGGUGAAAUCCUGGAGCUCAACUCCAGAACUGCCUUUGAUACUGAGGAUCUUGAGUUCGGGAGAGGUGAGUGGAACUCCGAGUGUAGAGGUGAAAUUCGUAGAUAUUCGGAAGAACACCAGUGGCGAAGGCGGCUCACUGGCCCGGUACUGACGCUGAGGUGCGAAAGCGUGGGGAGCAAACAGG